Molecule: long non-coding RNA, 639 nt
Filed under: Elaeis guineensis (African oil palm)
Lineage: Eukaryota; Viridiplantae; Streptophyta; Magnoliopsida; Arecales; Arecaceae
Description: long non-coding RNA (EGUI_LNC016098)
Source: RNAcentral
CCCCUCACUCAACCAAGAGUAUAUUGAAUCGCCUGCAUCGCCAUGUUCUUUUCCCAAUGGCUGUCACAGCGCCCGACUCCUAGCGUCCUACGGUCAUCAAUCUCCUGAUUACAACUCAAUAAAACUAGCAAGUAAUUUGCGCUAUACAGCGGACCAUAUUUAAAUGAUGAAAGAAAAAUUAAUAAAAUACAAUAAUAAUAAAAUAAUAUUUUUUGGGUACAUAUAGUUUUUUUUUUUUUUUUAAUUCUGGUCUCUACCUUCUUGCCUUGGAGCAAUUUCAAAUAUGGCGAUCCCUCCGCACUGAACAUGAAUGACAACAAUGCCAUGUUCGCCAGCAUCGUCCAAGCUUCCUUUUUGACCGCUCCAAACCUCCCACCCGAUUGAAACUCCUAAACUUCUCGACAUGUGGCAUAUUGAAACAUUACUCCACAAUCUGCCGUAUCAACACGAAAUAUCACCCAUCGCUUUAUUAUUAUUAUUAUUAUAUAGAUCGAAGGAGCUGGACUUGAAAGCAGGAAUAAUCGGACCAGCCGCGUUAUCAACUAAAUUCUGGUAGCCGCUCGGCGCCAUACAAAUUUCCGGUAAUACCUGUCCCACGAGCAUCCCAAGGUCUCAGCAUUUUAAAGGUUUCCUCGAUUU